UCUCCGUAGGUGAACCUGCGGAGGGAUCAUUAACGAAUGGUCUCGUACCUUCAAACCCUUCAAACCUGUGGACGUUUAAAACGUGCUUCGGCGCCUCUGGCGUCGCCUUUAUGCCGUAUCUGAGUCUUUUACGUCUGAACGACAUACAAGAAUCAAAACUUUCAACAAAGGAUCUCUUGGCUCUC
RNAcentral lists this unclassified non-coding RNA (185 nucleotides) under soil metagenome. RNAcentral describes it as "partial contains small subunit ribosomal RNA, internal transcribed spacer 1, and 5.8S ribosomal RNA". The record is from RNAcentral.